Molecule: non-coding RNA, 72 nt
Organism: Phrynosoma platyrhinos (Desert horned lizard)
Lineage: Eukaryota; Metazoa; Chordata; Lepidosauria; Squamata; Phrynosomatidae
Source: the annotation of a GenBank genome assembly
GCCAGUGUGGUGUAGUGGUUUGAGUGUUGGACUAUGACUCUAGAGACCAGGGUGUGAUUCCCAGCUCGGCCA